AUUGAACGCUGGCGGCAGGCCUAACACAUGCAAGUCGAGCGGAUGAAGGGAGCUUGCUCCUGGAUUCAGCGGCGGACGGGUGAGUAAUGCCUAGGAAUCUGCCUGGUAGUGGGGGAUAACGUCCGGAAACGGGCGCUAAUACCGCAUACGUCCUGAGGGAGAACGUGGGGGAUCUUCGGACCUCACGCUAUCAGAUGAGCCUAGGUCGGAUUAGCUAGUUGGUGGGGUAAAGGCCUACCAAGGCGACGAUCCGUAACUGGUCUGAGAGGAUGAUCAGUCACACUGGAACUGAGACACGGUCCAGACUCCUACGGGAGGCAGCAGUGGGGAAUAUUGGACAAUGGGCGAAAGCCUGAUCCAGCCAUGCCGCGUGUGUGAAGAAGGUCUUCGGAUUGUAAAGCACUUUAAGUUGGGAGGAAGGGCAGUAAGUUAAUACCUGGCUGUUUUGACGUUACCAACAGAAUAAGCACCGGCUAACUUCGUG
RNAcentral lists this ribosomal RNA (484 nucleotides) under uncultured bacterium. Its description in RNAcentral is "partial 16S ribosomal RNA". It matches the Rfam family "Bacterial small subunit ribosomal RNA", at positions 30 to 507 of the family's 1533-position model. The record is from RNAcentral.